CUCCCUACGGAGGCAGCAGUGGGGAAUAUUGGACAAUGGGGGCAACCCUGAUCCAGCCAUGCCGCGUGAGUGAUGAAGGCCUUAGGGUUGUAAAGCUCUUUCACCGGGGAAGAUAAUGACGGUACCCGGAGAAGAAGCCCCGGCUAACUUCGUGCCAGCAGCCGCGGUAAUACGAAGGGGGCUAGCGUUGUUCGGAAUUACUGGGCGUAAAGCGCACGUAGGCGGACAUUUAAGUCAGGGGUGAAAUCCCGGGGCUCAACCUCGGAACUGCCUUUGAUACUGGGUGUCUUGAGUGUGGAAGAGGUAAGUGGAAUUGCGGGUGUAGAGGUGAAAUUCGUAGAUAUUCGCAGGAACACCAGUGGCGAAGGCGGCUUACUGGUCCAUUACUGACGCUGAGGUGCGAAAGCGUGGGGAGCAAACAGGAUUAGAUACCCCGGUAGUC
Molecule: ribosomal RNA, 442 nt
Filed under: uncultured Agrobacterium sp.
Lineage: Bacteria; Pseudomonadati; Pseudomonadota; Alphaproteobacteria; Hyphomicrobiales; Rhizobiaceae
Description: bacterial SSU rRNA
Rfam family: Bacterial small subunit ribosomal RNA
Source: RNAcentral